Molecule: unclassified non-coding RNA, 189 nt
Filed under: uncultured Russula
Lineage: Eukaryota; Fungi; Basidiomycota; Agaricomycetes; Russulales; Russulaceae
Description: sequence contains ITS1
Source: RNAcentral
UCGUACAACGGGGGUGCGAGGGCUGUCGCUGACCUUUCAAAAAGGUCGUGCACGCCUGAGCGCUCUCACACAUCCGUCUCACCCCAUUGUGCAUCACCGCGUGGGUCCCCUUUGCAGGAGGGCUCACGUUUUCACACAAAACUUGAUACAGUGUAGAAUGUUAUCUUUUGCGGUCACACGCAAUCAAUA